AAGGAACUCGGCAAAAUGUCCUUGUAACUUCGGAAUAAAAGGAACACACGGUAAUAAAUAAAAGAGGGGGUAGCGACUGUUUAAUAAAAACAUAAGACUUUGCUAACUAGUAAUUCGUUGUAUAAAGUCUGACACCUGCCCGGUGCUGUAAGGCGAAAUUAAAUUUUAUAUAAGUCCCAGUUAACGGCGGCCGUAACCCUGACGGUCCUAAGGUAGCAAAAUUCCUUGGCGGGUAAGUUCCGUCCUGCAUGAAUGGUGUAACGACUGCCCCACUGUCUCUAGUAUUAACUCUAUGAAAUUGAAUUAGACGUGAAGAUGCGUUAAAGUACAGCUAGACGGAGAGACCCUAUGCACCUUUACUGUUAUCUAUUUUACAAUAUAAGUUUUUAUUAUCUAGAUAUGUAGUAAUUUUAUAAAAAUGGAAAACUACUUAAUAUUAAAGUAUAUUGUAUAAUAUAAUAAUAUAUAUUACUCAGGUAGAAAGACAGUUUAGCUGGGGCGGCUACCUCCUAAAAAGUAACGGAGGUGAAUAUAUAUUUUAAAUUAUAACUACUAGAGAAGGAGGAAGGAAUUAAUUUAAAAUUGAUUAUAUUACAUACGAGUAAUAUAAGGAUAUACGUCUGUCCUAAUGACCCGAUUUUUAAUAAAUCGUUCAACGAAUAAAAGGUACGCUAGGGAUAACAGGCUAAUGAAUUCUGAGAGUACCUAUCGAAGAAUUCGUUUGGCACCUCGAUGUCGGCUCAUCAUUUCCUAGUGGAGCAUACGCUGCUAAGGGUUCGGCUGUUCGCCGAAUAAAAUGGUACGUGAGCUGGGUUUAGAACGUCGUGAGACAGUUUGGUCCCUAUCUACUGUACAUUUAAAAAAUAAAAGUAUUUUUACUUCAGUACGAGAGGACCGAGGACAGAAGAUCAAUUGUUA
RNAcentral lists this ribosomal RNA (918 nucleotides) under Thuricola similis. RNAcentral describes it as "16S ribosomal RNA". It matches the Rfam family "Bacterial large subunit ribosomal RNA", at positions 1707 to 2715 of the family's 2925-position model. Lineage: Eukaryota; Ciliophora; Oligohymenophorea; Sessilida; Vaginicolidae. The record is from RNAcentral.